UACAGAGGUCUCGAGCGUUAGGCGGAAUCACUGGGCUUAAAGCGUGUGUAGGCGGCGGGCUAAGUACCUUGUGAAAUCCCACGGCUUAACUGUGGAACUGCUGGGUAUACUGGUUCGCUUGAGCGGUCUAGGGGCGAGCGGAACAAAUGGUGGAGCGGUGAAAUGCGUAGAUAUCAUUUGGAACGCCAACGGUGAAAACAGCUCGCUGGGGACCUGCUGACGCUAAGACACGAAAGCCAGGGGAGCGAACGGG
This 253-nucleotide ribosomal RNA is filed under the name uncultured bacterium. RNAcentral's name for it is "partial 16S ribosomal RNA". It matches the Rfam family "Bacterial small subunit ribosomal RNA", at positions 524 to 776 of the family's 1533-position model. The record is from RNAcentral.